This 45-nucleotide non-coding RNA is filed under the name Schistosoma mattheei. The record is from RNAcentral. Lineage: Eukaryota; Metazoa; Platyhelminthes; Trematoda; Strigeidida; Schistosomatidae.
AUCUAGCUGACGAGUCCCAGAUAGGACAAAACUUUCGUCCUUAAU